AGACCCGAAACCCGGUGAUCUAGCCAUGGGCAGGUUGAAGGUUGGGUAACACUAACUGGAGGACCGAACCGACUAAUGUUGAAAAAUUAGCGGAUGACCUGUGGCUGGGGGUGAAAGGCCAAUCAAACCGGGAGAUAGCUGGUUCUCCCCGAAAGCUAUUUAGGUAGCGCCUCGUGAAUUCAUCUCCGGGGGUAGAGCACUGUUUCGGCUAGGGGGCCAUCCCGGCUUACCAACCCGAUGCAAACUGCGAAUACCGGAGAAUGUUAUCACGGGAGACACACGGCGGGUGCUAACGUCCGUCGUGAAGAGGGAAACAACCCAGACCGCCAGCUAAGGUCCCAAAGUCAUGGUUAAGUGGGAAACGAUGUGGGAAGGCCCAGACAGCCAGGAUGUUGGCUUAGAAGCAGCCAUCAUUUAAAGAAAGCGUAAUAGCUCACUGGUCGAGUCGGCCUGCGCGGAAGAUGUAACGGGGCUAAACCAUGCACCGAAGCUGCGGCAGCGAACGUAUCACCCAAGACAACUUUACGGAGUUGACGAUUGACGGAGCGAAGCGACGUCAAAGCGUUCAUUAAAGUCGAGUUGGCUUAGGGAUACGUUCGUUGGGUAGGGGAGCGUUCUGUAAGCCUGUGAAGGUGUGUCGUGAGGCAUGCUGGAGGUAUCAGAAGUGCGAAUGCUGACAUAAGUAACGAUAAAGCGGGUGAAAAGCCCGCUCGCCGGAAGACCAAGGGUUCCUGUCCAACGUUAAUCGGGGCAGGGUGAGUCGACCCCUAAGGCGAGGCCGAAAGGCGUAGUCGAUGGGAAACGGGUUAAUAUUCCCGUACUUGGUGUUACUGCGAAGGGGGGACGGAGAAGGCUAUGUUGGCCGGGCGACGGUUGUCCCGGUUUAAGCGUGUAGGUGUGUGUUCCAGGUAAAUCCGGUUCACUUUAACACUGAGGCGUGACGACGAGGCACUACGGUGCUGAAGCAACAAAUGCCCUGCUUCCAGGAAAAGCCUCUAAGCAUCAGGUAACACGAAAUCGUACCCCAAACCGACACAGGUGGUCAGGUAGAGAAUACCAAGGCGCUUGAGAGAACUCGGGUGAAGGAACUAGGCAAAAUGGUGCCGUAACUUCGGGAGAAGGCACGCUGACACGUAGGUGAAGUGAUUUACUCAUGGAGCUGAAGUCAGUCGAAGAUACCAGCUGGCUGCAACUGUUUAUUAAAAACACAGCACUGUGCAAACACGAAAGUGGACGUAUACGGUGUGACGCCUGCCCGGUGCCGGAAGGUUAAUUGAUGGGGUCAGCGUAAGCGAAGCUCCUGAUCGAAGCCCCGGUAAACGGCGGCCGUAACUAUAACGGUCCUAAGGUAGCGAAAUUCCUUGUCGGGUAAGUUCCGACCUGCACGAAUGGCGUAAUGAUGGCCAGGCUGUCUCCACCCGAGACUCAGUGAAAUUGAACUCGCUGUGAAGAUGCAGUGUACCCGCGGCAAGACGGAAAGACCCCGUGAACCUUUACUAUAGCUUGACACUGAACAUUGAGCCUUGAUGUGUAGGAUAGGUGGGAGGCUUUGAAGUGUGGACGCCAGUCUGCAUGGAGCCGACCUUGAAAUACCACCCUUUAAUGUUUGAUGUUCUAACGUGGACCCGUAAUCCGGGUUGCGGACAGUGUCUGGUGGGUAGUUUGACUGGGGCGGUCUCCUCCUAAAGAGUAACGGAGGAGCACGAAGGUUGGCUAAUCCUGGUCGGACAUCAGGAGGUUAGUGCAAUGGCAUAAGCCAGCUUGACUGCGAGCGUGACGGCGCGAGCAGGUGCGAAAGCAGGUCAUAGUGAUCCGGUGGUUCUGAAUGGAAGGGCCAUCGCUCAACGGAUAAAAGGUACUCCGGGGAUAACAGGCUGAUACCGCCCAAGAGUUCAUAUCGACGGCGGUGUUUGGCACCUCGAUGUCGGCUCAUCACAUCCUGGGGCUGAAGUAGGUCCCAAGGGUAUGGCUGUUCGCCAUUUAAAGUGGUACGCGAGCUGGGUUUAGAACGUCGUGAGACAGUUCGGUCCCUAUCUGCCGUGGGCGCUGGAGAACUGAGGGGGGCUGCUCCUAGUACGAGAGGACCGGAGUGGACGCAUCACUGGUGUUCGGGUUGUCAUGCCAAUGGCACUGCCCGGUAGCUAAAUGCGGAAGAGAUAAGUGCUGAAAGCAUCUAAGCACGAAACUUGCCCCGAGAUGAGUUCUCCCUGAGACUUAGAGUCUCCUGAAGGAACGUUGAAGACGACGACGUUGAUA
RNAcentral lists this ribosomal RNA (2256 nucleotides) under Salmonella enterica. Its description in RNAcentral is "partial 23S ribosomal RNA". It matches the Rfam family "Bacterial large subunit ribosomal RNA", at positions 711 to 2858 of the family's 2925-position model. Lineage: Bacteria; Pseudomonadati; Pseudomonadota; Gammaproteobacteria; Enterobacterales; Enterobacteriaceae. RNAcentral also lists the same sequence under 1 other name. The record is from RNAcentral.